This 219-nucleotide long non-coding RNA is filed under the name Elaeis guineensis (African oil palm). RNAcentral's name for it is "long non-coding RNA (EGUI_LNC008545)". The record is from RNAcentral. Lineage: Eukaryota; Viridiplantae; Streptophyta; Magnoliopsida; Arecales; Arecaceae.
AUUUUUUUCAAUGGCUACGGUUUGAGUAUCUAAGUUUUGGUGGUUGACGUGAUCUUUUUCUAUGCGUGGCUAGCCGCUUCCCUAAAUACUUGAUUUGAAAAAGGCCGCACAGGGGCUUUUUGCUGAUGUUGUGGUCAGCUGCUUUCUUUAAUGGCUUGAUUUGAUGGGGCAUAUCGGAGCCCUUUGCAGACGUCCUUAGAUAUGAUGACAAGGGCAAGG